This 392-nucleotide ribosomal RNA is filed under the name uncultured bacterium. RNAcentral describes it as "partial 16S ribosomal RNA". It matches the Rfam family "Bacterial small subunit ribosomal RNA", at positions 523 to 918 of the family's 1533-position model. The record is from RNAcentral.
AUACGGAAGAUGCGAGCGUUAUCCGGAUUUAUUGGGUUUAAAGGGAGCGUAGGCGGAUUGUUAAGUCAGCGGUCAAAUGUCGGUGCCCAACAUCGUCCUUCCGUUGAAACUGGCAGUCUUGAAUGCACACAGGGAAGGUGGAAUUCGUCGUGUAGCGGUGAAAAGCUUAGAUAUGACGAGGAACUCCGAUCGCGAAGGCAUCCUUCUGGAGUGCGAUUGACGCUGAGGCUCGAAAGCGCGGGUAUCAAACAGGAUUAGAUACCCUGGUAGACCGCGCCGUAAACGAUUGAUGCUCGACAUUGGGGCAUUAGUUUCAGUGACCAAGCGAAAGCAUUAAGCAUCCCACCUGGGGAGUACGCCGGCAACGGUGAAACUCAAAUGAAUUGACGGGG